CCUACGGGAGGCAGCAGUGGGGAAUAUUGCACAAUGGGCGCAAGCCUGAUGCAGCCAUGCCGCGUGUGUGAAGAAGGCCUUCGGGUUGUAAAGCACUUUCAGUCGUGAGGAAGGUAGUGUAGUUAAUAGCUGCAUUAUUUGACGUUAGCGACAGAAGAAGCACCGGCUAACUCCGUGCCAGCAGCCGCGGUAAUA
RNAcentral lists this ribosomal RNA (195 nucleotides) under uncultured bacterium. Its description in RNAcentral is "partial 16S ribosomal RNA". It matches the Rfam family "Bacterial small subunit ribosomal RNA", at positions 338 to 525 of the family's 1533-position model. The record is from RNAcentral.